Small nucleolar RNA from Cricetulus griseus (Chinese hamster), 119 nucleotides. Lineage: Eukaryota; Metazoa; Chordata; Mammalia; Rodentia; Cricetidae. The record is from Ensembl.
UCUGCUUAAAAAAAAAUCCUGCUAGUGACCCACUGAGCCAUCAAGAAGGGGCAGAGUGAAAACACUGCUUUUGGGUGAAGUGACAUGUGCUGUCUGCUUCAAUCGGUAUUGUGACAAGA